GACGAACGCUGGCGGCGUGCCUAAUACAUGCAAGUCGAGCGAAGUUUUUCUGGUGCUUGCACUAGAAAAACUUAGCGGCGAACGGGUGAGUAACACGUAAAGAACCUGCCUCAUAGACUGGGACAACUAUUGGAAACGAUAGCUAAUACCGGAUAACAGUAUUUCUCGCAUGAGAGAUAUUUAAAAGUUGGUUAUGCUAACACUAUGAGAUGGCUUUGCGGUGCAUUAGCUAGUUGGUGGGGUAAAGGCCCACCAAGGCGACGAUGCAUAGCCGACCUGAGAGGGUGAUCGGCCACACUGGGACUGAGACACGGCCCGGACUCCUACGGGAGGCAGCAGUAGGGAAUCUUCCGCAAUGGGCGAAAGCCUGACGGAGCAACGCCGCGUGAGUGAAGAAGGAUUUCGGUUCGUAAAGCUCUGUUGUUAGGGAAGAAUGGAUAUGUAGUAACUAUACAUGUAAGAGACGGUACCUAACCAGAAAGCCACGGCUAACUACGUG
RNAcentral lists this ribosomal RNA (499 nucleotides) under uncultured bacterium. RNAcentral's name for it is "partial 16S ribosomal RNA". It matches the Rfam family "Bacterial small subunit ribosomal RNA", at positions 28 to 507 of the family's 1533-position model. The record is from RNAcentral.